UGUGUGUGUGUGUGUGUGUGUGUAAACAGGAAAGGCAAUAGAAAUUUUGGAGAAAAUUUUGAAGAAACAGAAUUCCUACUGGUAGAAACGAAAUGUAAGGCCAGAAUUCAUCCUGCCCCCACUGUCUCCUGCGGCACUGAACACUCUGCAGUCCUGGCUCCCGGGGCUGCAUCUGCCCUGCUGCCAACAGCUGGACCUGGGAUCCUCAGUGGGCUCGCCGGAACACAGGAAUCUCUGGGAAGAUGACAGUCAUGUGCAUCAAAGUCCAUGGAGUGCUCCUCACUGCAUUGCUCGUCAGUGUUGGUUGGAUUCCUGUCUGGGAAAAAAAUAAAAGGAAUUCAACAGUUUCUCAAAAUAAUAAUGGACCUUCAUAAGCCAUCGACACCAAUGAGACUUCUCUGGCACAUGAGCUACAACUCUAACACAAGAAGAUGCUUCUGAACUCACAAUAAGCAGUGGUACACCAAAAAAUGUGCAUUCAGAAAAUGCGAUGGACCAGCAUCCUUCAAUGCCUCCAUGAUAAUUAGGAUCAGAAAUCUGUGGGGUGGAGUGGGGAGAAGAAUGACAUGGGAUACAGAGGUCAUAAACCACAAGACUUUGUCUCAUGUCCUUAAAUCCCAUUUGUCGAGAUACUCCCUUUCUGGGGAUGCUUUAUUUUUACCCGGGACAUGCAGAAAAAUCUCCUUGUAAACAUGUAUAAUAAACUCCGCAGGGAAUUUUGUGGGCAUCUCAUAAAAUUUCCAGCUAAUUACAUCUCAUAAAAGAAGGUGCUGGGAGGUGCUUGCCUCUCUUACAGCACCAGAAAAACAGGAAGUUUUUCAUUCCUUCCUUCCUCCACCCCUUGUCUCUUCCUGGUCUACUCUACUCUCUAACUAUGCCCACCUGUGUAUGUGUGUUUUGUUCUUACCUUUAAAAUAAACAUUAUCACUUUGUG
This is a long non-coding RNA of Ochotona curzoniae (black-lipped pika), 934 nucleotides long. RefSeq lists it as uncharacterized. Lineage: Eukaryota; Metazoa; Chordata; Mammalia; Lagomorpha; Ochotonidae. The transcript has 4 exons. The record is from RefSeq and is a predicted model, not a curated record.